UACGUAGGGUGCGAGCGUUGCCCGGAUUUAUUGGGCGUAAAGGGCGCGUAGGCGGGCUGUCAAGUCUGGGGUGAAAUCCCGCGGCUUAACCGUGGAACUGCCUCAGAUACUGAUGGCCUCGAGGGAGAUAGGGGCGAGCGGAACUAAUGGUGGAGCGGUGAAAUGCGUUGAUAUCAUUAGGAACUCCGGUGGCGAAGGCGGCUCGCUGGGUCUCUUCUGACGCUGAUGCGCGAAAGCUAGGGGAGCAAACGGG
RNAcentral lists this ribosomal RNA (253 nucleotides) under uncultured bacterium. RNAcentral's name for it is "partial 16S ribosomal RNA". It matches the Rfam family "Bacterial small subunit ribosomal RNA", at positions 524 to 776 of the family's 1533-position model. The record is from RNAcentral.